AGUGAACUGUGGUUAAGGAACUCGGCAAAUUGCCCCCGUAACUUCGGGAGAAGGGGGGCCGCGGCUGGUGAUGGGACUUGCUCCCUGAGCUGGCUACGGCCGCAGAGACCAGGUGGAAGCGACUGUUUACUAAAAACACAGGUCCAUGCAAAGUCGCAAGACGACGUAUAUGGACUGACGCCUGCCCGGUGCUGGAACGUUAAGGGGACCAGUUAGUUCUUCGGAGCGAAGCUGAGAACUUAAGCGCCAGUAAACGGCGGUGGUAACUAUAACCAUCCUAAGGUAGCGAAAUUCCUUGUCGGGUAAGUUCCGACCUGCACGAAUGGCGUAACGACUUCCACGCUGUCUCAACCGCAGACUCGGCGAAAUUGCACUACGAGUAAAGAUGCUCGUUACGCGUGGCAGGACGGAAAGACCCCGGGACCUUUACUACAGCUUGGUAUUGGUGGUCGGUUCGAUUUGUGUAGCAUAGGUGGGAGACUUGGAAGCCCGGACGCCAGUUCGGGUGGAGUCAUCGUUGAAAUACCACUCUGAUCGUAUUGGCUGUCUAACCUCGAUCCGUGAUCCGGAUUAGGGACAGUGCCUGGUGGGUAGUUUAACUGGGGCGGUUGCCUCCCAAAGAGUAACGGAGGCGCUCAAAGGUUCCCUCAGCCUGGUUGGCAAUCAGGUGUCGAGUGUAAGUGCACAAGGGAGCUUGACUGUGAGACUGACAGGUCGAGCAGGGACGAAAGUCGGAACUAGUGAUCCGGCGCCGGCAUGUGGAAGCGGCGUCGCUCAACGGAUAAAAGGUACCCCGGGGAUAACAGGCUGAUCUUGCCCAAGAGUCCAUAUCGACGGCAUGGUUUGGCACCUCGAUGUCGGCUCGUCGCAUCCUGGGGCUGGAGUCGGUCCCAAGGGUUGGGCUGUUCGCCCAUUAAAGCGGCACGCGAGCUGGGUUUAGAACGUCGUGAGACAGUUCGGUCCCUAUCCGCCACGCGCGUAAGAGUCUUGAGGAGAUCUGUCCCUAGUACGAGAGGACCGGGACGGACGACCCUCUGGUGUGCCAGUUGUCCUGCCAAGGGCACGGCUGGUUAGCUACGUUCGGAAGGGAUAACCGCUGAAAGCAUCUAAGCGGGAAGCCCACUCCAAGAUGAGGGCUCUCACUGGGUUACCAGGUAAGGACCCCAGCUAGACGACUGGGUUGAUAGGCCGGAUGUGGAAGCACAGCAAUGUGUGGAGCUGACCGGUACUAAUAGUCCGAGGACUUGCUUAC
RNAcentral lists this ribosomal RNA (1252 nucleotides) under marine metagenome. RNAcentral describes it as "bacterial LSU rRNA". It matches the Rfam family "Bacterial large subunit ribosomal RNA", at positions 1693 to 2925 of the family's 2925-position model. The record is from RNAcentral.